Molecule: microRNA, 23 nt
Filed under: Gallus gallus (chicken)
Lineage: Eukaryota; Metazoa; Chordata; Aves; Galliformes; Phasianidae
Description: microRNA Ros-gga
Source: RNAcentral
CGGCGCGGGCGGCCUCGCUCCCU